Molecule: ribosomal RNA, 253 nt
Filed under: uncultured bacterium
Lineage: Bacteria
Description: partial 16S ribosomal RNA
Rfam family: Bacterial small subunit ribosomal RNA
Source: RNAcentral
UACGUAGGGGGCAAGCGUUAUCCGGAUUUACUGGGUGUAAAGGGAGCGUAGACGGCAGUGCAAGUCUGAAGUGAAAGGCGGGGGCCCAACCCCCGAACUGCUUUGGAAACUGUGCUGCUGGAGUGCAAGAGAGGCAAGUGGAAUUCCUAGUGUAGCGGUGAAAUGCGUAGAUAUUAGGAGGAACACCAGUGGCGAAGGCGGCUUGCUGGACUGUAACUGACGUUGAGGCUCGAAAGCGUGGGGAGCAAACAGG